GAUGAACGCUGGCGGCGUGCCUAACACAUGCAAGUCGAGCGAUUUACUUCGGUAAAGAGCGGCGGACGGGUGAGUAACGCGUGGGUAACCUGCCCUGUACACACGGAUAACAUACCGAAAGGUAUGCUAAUACGAGAUAAUGUGCUUUUUAUCGCAUGGUAGAAGUAUCAAAGCUUUUGCGGUACAGGAUGGACCCGCGUCUGAUUAGCUAGUUGGUAAGGUAACGGCUUACCAAGGCGACGAUCAGUAGCCGACCUGAGAGGGUGAUCGGCCACAUUGGAACUGAGACACGGUCCAAACUCCUACGGGAGGCAGCAGUGGGGAAUAUUGCACAAUGGGCGAAAGCCUGAUGCAGCAACGCCGCGUGAGCGAUGAAGGCCUUCGGCUCGUAAAGCUCUGUUGGUAGUGAAGAAAGAUAGAGGUAGUAACUGGCCUUUAUUUGUACGGUAUUACUUAGAAGUCACGGCUAAACUAACGUGCCAGCCGCCG
RNAcentral lists this ribosomal RNA (489 nucleotides) under uncultured bacterium. Its description in RNAcentral is "bacterial SSU rRNA". It matches the Rfam family "Bacterial small subunit ribosomal RNA", at positions 28 to 517 of the family's 1533-position model. The record is from RNAcentral.